Molecule: long non-coding RNA, 2056 nt
Organism: Macadamia integrifolia
Lineage: Eukaryota; Viridiplantae; Streptophyta; Magnoliopsida; Proteales; Proteaceae
Exons: 2
Source: RefSeq, a predicted model, not a curated record
UCUUUUCGUAUCUUUCACUACUUUUUGGCAUCGAGUAUUUCAAUUGUAAUGAAUUAUAAUUUUGUUUGCUGCACACUACUGAUACUAGCAAUGAGGUACGAGUGUGAUAAGCAACUUAACUAGUGUUACAAUUUGCAUCUAAAGAGCAUAAUUUUUACUCCACUAGGUGUUAAGGUGUUAGAUACCUGACCAAUAAUCCAAAAAAUAUCCAGAGCUGAGGGAACAUGUAAAGUCAAGCCUUUCAACCUAUUCCUGGCCGAAUCUGGUACCCCUGCACCAAAAUGGCCCCCACCAUGCACAUAACAUAAUGUCUCUUAAACAAAUUGAAUUGGUCCUAUGAAGAAGAAAUGCAAAGAAAGUGGUAUUUUUUUCUAUUCUUUUUUCAAUCUGGGUUCUGGAAAUAUACAUAUCCAUGGGCGAUAUAGUGAGGAGAUAUACCUUGAUAAUUAGAGAUUCUUUUUUCACCUUCCUGUUUUGACUGCAAAAGGAGAAUUUUGUUGUGUUACCUUGCGGAAGGUGGAGUUAAUAAUUCUACAACAGAUGUGAGUAGCUUGAUGUGGAGACUUAUAGAUACUUGGGCACCCUCUCCUUAAUGACAAGCUUUUGAGAAUGAGUUAUACCCUUGUCCCUAACAAGUGGUAUCAGAGCCAAGGUUGUGGCAAGGCUAAGAUUCUGGCAAAGCUAGGGCAUGAGAACCUAAUGUACCUUUGAGGAUGAAGUUUGAGAAGAUCUUGGAUUGCUUCCACAUGGAGGGGAGAUUCUUGCGGUUCCACACAGAAGGCCAAAUUAAUAAUUCCACAUUAGAUGUGAGUAGUCCGUGUUACGAAUUAACAAUGCAACAGAACAAUGAUUUGCAAAGAAAAACGAAAGAGAAUAUCACACACGCACACACACACACACACACACACACACACAAGACUCUUUGGCUGAAGACCAACACAAAGUUGAAGUUUUCUAUGGCAUUCCAUCCCCAAACUGACCAUAAGACGGAAGUUGUGAAUAGAAGCCUUGGAAAUUGUUUCAUUGCCUAGUUUGUGAUUAUGAGAAGAGUAGAUGAUGUGGCAUUCUAUUCUUGACAUAAUUGAAUCUGCAAACAACAGUUUCGUCAACCGCACCUCCGGUCUCACACUAUUUGAGAUUGUUCUUGAUCUUCAACCUCAACGACUGGUUGACAUGGUACCCUUGUCACUUCAUGCCCAUGUUAGUGUUGAAGUGGACGAGUUCCUUCAGCAUAUUAUAGAGCUAUGUGGAGUUUCAACUUGGUGAUAUGGUUAUGGUUCAAAUUCCACCUGAACGAUUUCCUCCAGGUACUGUGCACAAGCUCCACCCUCAGAAUAUGGGAACUUACAAGGUCUUGAAGCGUAUUGGUCCCAAUGCCUACAUAUUGGAGUUGCCUCCUACUAUAAAAAUCAUCAUUUUUUUCAACAUUGCAGAUGUUACACUCUAUAUGGGCCAUCAUUCCGAUGAUGGAGAUAUGGAGCAUACAUUGAGACUUCCCCAAUUUGUGACCCCUACGGACGAUGUUAUUGAAGACGUCAUUGACAACAAGUUUACUACUAUUUGUGAUGGGAAAGGCUAUUAUUUGCUCCUUGUUAAAUAAAAAGAGCGCCUUAUUAAAGAUAGCACUUGGAUCCAUGCCAAAGAUUUUCAGCGUCUUGAUACGGAUCUCUAUGAGUGCUUUAUCCAUUGAUCGGAGACAAAUGAUUUAAAGAGGGGGGAGUUGAUGUAGAUCCCCAUAAUGGGAUGCAGUAUUUCAGCAGUAUAAUGGGAUCUCUAUGUAGAUCCCCAGUUGGUUCCUUAUUUUUUGCCCCUCUGCUGGCCACAUCAAUAGCCCAUUGGCAUGCAUAGGAAACCCCGUUAUUACAGUAUAUUUGUUUCCAGAUUUGAGCUUCUAGAAGGCCCUCAAUUAGCCCCCUUGAUCCAGCCUUUACACCUGUCUGUAGCUAGCCAGAAGACUCUCCUUUGUGGCCUGCAAUUUCCUUUACAGUUGGAAUCUUGUGUUGCUUUGUUUGACUGGUCAGAGAUGUUUUACAAGAGAGGAGAUGCCUUUUAGAAA